RNAcentral lists this ribosomal RNA (545 nucleotides) under Blastocystis sp. subtype 4. RNAcentral's name for it is "SSU rRNA". It matches the Rfam family "Eukaryotic small subunit ribosomal RNA", at positions 54 to 614 of the family's 1831-position model. The record is from RNAcentral. Lineage: Eukaryota; Bigyra; Opalinata; Blastocystidae.
CAUGUGUAAGUAUAAAUAUUUGACUUUGAAACUGCGAAUGGCUCAUUAUAUCAGUUAUAGUUUAUUUGAUGAACAAUACUACUUGGAUAACCGUAGUAAUUCUAGAGCUAAUACAUGAUCAAAUCCUCGACUUUGAAGAGGUGUAUUUAUUAGAAUGAAACCAAGAGACUUCGGUCUAUUUGUGAGUAAUAAUAACUAAUCGUAUCGCAUGCUUAGGUAGCGAUAUGUCUUUCAAGUUUCUGCCCUAUCAGCUUUGGAUGGUAGUGUAUUGGACUACCAUGGCAGUAACGGGUAACGAAGAAUUUGGGUUCGAUUUCGGAGAGGGAGCCUGAGAGAUGGCUACCACAUCCAAGGAAGGCAGCAGGCGCGUAAAUUACCCAAUCCUGACAUAGGGAGGUAGUGACAAUAAAUCACAAUGCGGAACUAUUAGUUUUGCAAUUGGAUUGAGAACAACUGUACAAAUGUUAUCGAGAAACAAUUGGAGGGCAAGUCUGGUGCGUGCAGCCGCUGUAAUUCCAGCUCCAAUAGCCUAUAUCAACGUUGUU